AAGCUAAGAACCUUACCAGGGCUUGACAUCCCUCUGACAGGCUUGAUAACUUUAGCCUUUCUUCGGACAGAGGAGACAGGUGGUGCAUGGUUGUCGUCUGCUCGUGUCGUGAGAUGUUGGGUUAAGUCCCGCAACGAGCGCAAUCCUUGUCUUUAGUUGUCAUCAUUGAGUUGGGCACUCUAAAGAGACUGCCGGGGACAACUCGGAGGAAGGUGGGGAUGACGUCUAAUCAUCCUGCCCCUUAUGUUCUGGGCUACACACGUGCUACAAUGGUCGGAACAAAGAGCACCAAGACCGGGAGGUGGAGCAAAUCUCAAAAACCGAUCCCAGUUCGGAUUGCAGGCUGCAACUCGCCUGCAUGAAGUCGGAGUUGCUAGUAAUCGUGGAUCACAAUGCCACGGUGAAUGCGUUCCCGGGUCUUGUACACACCG
This 431-nucleotide ribosomal RNA is filed under the name uncultured bacterium. RNAcentral describes it as "bacterial SSU rRNA". It matches the Rfam family "Bacterial small subunit ribosomal RNA", at positions 959 to 1392 of the family's 1533-position model. The record is from RNAcentral.